This 458-nucleotide ribosomal RNA is filed under the name uncultured bacterium. RNAcentral describes it as "partial 16S ribosomal RNA". It matches the Rfam family "Bacterial small subunit ribosomal RNA", at positions 29 to 507 of the family's 1533-position model. The record is from RNAcentral.
AGCGAACGCUGGCGGCAGGCUUAACACAUGCAAGUCGAGCGGGCACUUCGGUGUCAGCGGCAGACGGGUGAGUAACACGUGGGAACGUACCCUUCGGUUCGGAAUAACGCUGGGAAACAAGCGCUAAUACCGGAUACGCCCUUUCGGGGGACGGUUUACUGCCGAAGGAUGGGCAUGGGUCUGAUUAGCUAGUUGGUGGGGUAAUGGCAUACCAAGGCGACGAGCAGUAGCUGCUCUGAGAGGAUGAUCAGCCACACUGGGACUGAGACACGGUCCAGACUCCUGCGGGAGGCAGCAGUGGGGAAUAUUGGGCAAUGGGCGAAAGGGUGAUCUAGCAAAGCCGCGUGAGUGAAGAAGGUCUUCGGCUUGUAAAGCAAUGUAGGUUGGGGGGAAGAACAGUAAGUUAAUCCGGUGCUGUUUUGACGUUACCAAAAGAAUAAGCCCCGGCUAACUUCGUG